Non-coding RNA from Pelobates cultripes (western spadefoot toad), 214 nucleotides. The record is from the annotation of a GenBank genome assembly. NCBI's taxonomy places the organism in Eukaryota, Metazoa, Chordata, Amphibia, Anura, Pelobatidae.
GCCCACCCAGGCGCCUCUGUGUCUGGGAGAUAAGAGAGCUAGCUUUUGAUUAAUCUAAUUAUCUCCCAGACACUAGAGUUACAAACUAUUAUACAAAACCCUCAAAAUAUACAUAACACAUAUAUGAACCCCCCACAAGCAUUAUAUCCCUGGAUCUUGGCACCCAACAUAUCCAAAUAGAGCUCUCAUCCCACGAACACAGCCUCUGUGUCUG